GUUUACACCUGUAUUUAGCGUCAUCCACUUGUGAUCUGAUCAACCAAAACACAUCUUAAUACCAGGAGUAAACAGGGCCUGAGAGACGAGGGAGAGCAGGAUCCAACUGCAGACAUUUAUUUAAUACCCCGGGGUGCCUUUAGUGCCCUACUGGGAAUUGGAGAUACCACUUUUGUAAACUUACUGUUUUUUUGUUUGUUUGUUUUUUGUAUUUUGGCUACUAUAUAGUAGGGAAGCAUGCAAUUUCGGAUGCAGCCAAUGGCUUAAAUGCAUAAGGACUAAUCAGGGUAACAAGACACAGAAAAGGGCUGUGUUUAUCUCCACUUUUAGACAUACAUUUGCAAACACUCUACCUCACCCUCGAGGGAAUCCCCACCGCCAUAAGUGCAUUCAACAGCGUCAAGUGGACAAUGGAACUUUACUUGGACAGACCCUCAACCCUUCUAUUUUGUAAGCAGUCGUGCAGAAUAAGCAAUGAUGUACAUCGGAAUGAAUGAGACAGAGGGAAGUUAGCGAGGGAAGGGCAUAAAAAAAUGGACUUAGAAGAUGACGAAAAAACAAUCAGUGAAUCACAAAGGGGAAGGGAACAGGAACAAGACAACUCUACAAACUAAAAGUCCAUAUACAAAAUAAGAGAACAGGGACAAAGACCUUGUUACAGUAUAAUAUUUGCACUUUUUUUUUUUCUUUCAGCAGGGGCUAACUGUCUAAUCAAGUCAAACUCUCCGCACAAAUCUUCUCUAACCACCUGCCACCAUUCUGCUAGUUAAAAUAGCCCAUCUACAAUCAUCAAAUUCUUCUCGCUGGAACUGUUAGGUCAAGUUACAUCAAAGAGAUCAAGAAGGAUCAAGCUCUUAAAAGGGACAGGCUCCAGCUCCCAUCAUCAGAAACAGAUGAUGCCCCACUUCAUGAAGGAAGACUAACUACUUCAAGACUGUGCAGCUUUCCUUUCCCGUACCCUGGCAUAGAGAGAUUAUGGGAGUAAAGUUGACAGCUUGUAUACUAGUUCAAAUGGGAGAUGACUAAUUUGUUUGUAUUUAUAAUUUGUUUGUGUGGAUGUGGGUAUUUAGACAUGGAAUCACACUUGGUUGAUCUAUGUCUAGGGUGGAUAAACAAGGAUAGGAAUCUUUAAAGCAGCAGAUCAAAUCCUGUUUUAUUUUAACCAUUUGUCUGUUAGCAUUAGUAAUUUUUUGCAGAAGUCCCUUAUUUUCUGAGAUAUCUAAGUAAAACCACAUCAAAUGUGCUCCUGUGCUGCUAGCAAAACCAGUCCUGCACUGGCUCCACUGUAUUUUUCAAUGAAAAGUAUUUUGGUUGGCCUGCACAUGUGUGUAUGUCUACGAAAUGCUGUGGGCCCCUUCAAAAUGACACAGCUGAGCCCCAAAGCGCCACACUCCUACCCUCUCGUAUAGGUGGAAAUAAGAAGAGGUGUGGAAAGCAAAUAUUAGCUUCACAUUAUUUAAUUGGCAUUGUACUCAUCUGACACUGACCAAUCUCAAGAAAGACUUUGGUCAUGAAUCUUUGGUCACUGAAUCUGAAUUGUAAAAUUCUAAAGAGAACGUGUUUAUCAACUCAAAACAUCUACUGAUUUAUUGCUUGGAUAUAAUGUAUUUUAAAAAGUGAAAGAGAAAAAGUGAC
Molecule: long non-coding RNA, 1635 nt
Organism: Megalobrama amblycephala (Wuchang bream)
Lineage: Eukaryota; Metazoa; Chordata; Actinopteri; Cypriniformes; Xenocyprididae
Exons: 3
Source: RefSeq, a predicted model, not a curated record